This 253-nucleotide ribosomal RNA is filed under the name uncultured bacterium. RNAcentral describes it as "partial 16S ribosomal RNA". It matches the Rfam family "Bacterial small subunit ribosomal RNA", at positions 524 to 776 of the family's 1533-position model. The record is from RNAcentral.
UACGUAGGGUGCGGGCGUUAAUCGGAAUUACUGGGCGUAAAGCGUGCGCAGGCGGUUUUGUAAGUCAGAUGUGAAAUCCCCGGGCUUAACCUGGGAACUGCGUUUGAAACUACAAGGCUAGAGUGUGGCAGAGGGGGGUGGAAUUCCACGUGUAGCAGUGAAAUGCGUAGAGAUGUGGAGGAACACCGAUGGCGAAGGCAGCCCCCUGGGUUAACACUGACGCUCAGGCACGAAAGCGUGGGGAGCAAACAGG